GAGGAUGUAGCUCAGAUGGUAGAGCGCUCGCUUUGCAUGCGAGAGGUGCUGGGGUCGAUGCCCAACAUCUUUA
This 73-nucleotide transfer RNA is filed under the name Tropilaelaps mercedesae. It matches the Rfam family "tRNA". From Rfam's summary of the family: Transfer RNA (tRNA) molecules are approximately 80 nucleotides in length. Lineage: Eukaryota; Metazoa; Arthropoda; Arachnida; Mesostigmata; Laelapidae. The record is from Rfam by way of RNAcentral.